Molecule: long non-coding RNA, 615 nt
Organism: Centropristis striata (black sea bass)
Lineage: Eukaryota; Metazoa; Chordata; Actinopteri; Perciformes; Serranidae
Exons: 5
Source: RefSeq, a predicted model, not a curated record
GUUUAAAAACGUCACAUCCGGGCAGUAUGUUCAGUUGAACUCACAGCGGUUGAGCAGAAAGACCAAAGAAGCUGUGUACACCAUCCAGCAUCAAUAUGGAAAGCACUGCGGCGAUGAAGCCAGGCUCUGCUCCACUCAGACCUCCUGAUUGACACCUGCUGCUCUAGGUUGACUUUGAGGCGAAAUUAAGUCAGUAACCAUGAAGAUCGGUGUUGUGGCUCCUUAUUGAAACUGCAAACUUCAAGGACUUGUAACGCAUGAAAAGACUUUGAUGCAGAUCGAGGGUCUGAGAACCAGUUCAUGUGCUGAGGAGAAACAAAGGCCAUAAUUGGAUAACUAGGAGUCAGAUAUUGUCUGUCUACAGUCCCAAUUUCCAAGAAUGGUGCGGGUCUUGGAAAAAUCUGCUGUAACAGUCCAGCUAUGCAUAGGUGAGGCAGAUGCCAAAGCCAAGACGCAACGGUGGAGAGCAAGUUUGUGAAACCUGGGGAAAGUGUCCUAAUUAAUAAAGGACUUGCAUAUAUAUCGAUAUGGUUUAUGGAAAAUGUUUGUAUUAAGUGUUUGGUGAGAAACAUUGUUAAAAUAAACAUUUCUUAUAAAAAAUAUUUGCUUUGUGUG